RNAcentral lists this small RNA (126 nucleotides) under Marmota monax (woodchuck). The record is from RNAcentral. Lineage: Eukaryota; Metazoa; Chordata; Mammalia; Rodentia; Sciuridae.
GCUGGGCCUGGUGGUGCACACCUGUAAUCCCAGGAGCUUGGAGGCUGAGGCAGGAGAAUUGAGAGUUCAAAGUCAGCAUGAACAAGUUAGUGAGGCUCUAAGCAACUUAUCAAGACUCUGUUUCUA